RNAcentral lists this ribosomal RNA (88 nucleotides) under Pseudoalteromonas citrea. Its description in RNAcentral is "partial 23S ribosomal RNA". The record is from RNAcentral. Lineage: Bacteria; Pseudomonadati; Pseudomonadota; Gammaproteobacteria; Alteromonadales; Pseudoalteromonadaceae.
AUAGGCAAGAUGUGGAAGUGGUGUGAGCCAUUAAGCUACCUUGUACUAAUUCCCCUUGAGGCUUAACCAUACAACGCCAAACGCGUUU